CUAAGAAUAUUCCGCAAUGGACGGAAGUCUGAUGGAGCGACGCCGCGUGGAUGACGAAGGCCGAAAGGUUGUAAAGUUCUUUUGCUGGGGAAGAAUAACCGCAGGAGGGAAUGCCUGUGGGAUGACAAGAACCGGCGAAUAAGCCCCGGCCAACUACGUGCCAGCAGCCGCGGUAACACGUAGGGGGCGAGCGUUGUUCGGAAUUACUGGGCGUAAAGGGCAUGUAGGCGGCUUGGAAAGCCUGGCGUGAAAGUCUGCAGCUUAACUGCAGGGGUGCGCUGGGAACUGCUGAGCUUGAGUGACGGAGAGGGAGCUGGAAUUCCUGGUGUAGGGGUGAAAUCUGUAGAUAUCAGGAAGAACACCGAUGGCGAAGGCAAGCUCCUGGCCGAUGACUGACGCUGAGGUGCGAAAGUGUGGGGAUCAAAACAGGAUUAGAUACCCUGGUAGUCCACACAGUCAACGAUGUGCACUAGGUGCUGGGGCGGUAGCUUCGGCGCCGGAGCGAACGUGGUAAGUGCACCGCCUGGGGAGUAUGCUCGCAAGGGUGAAACUCAAAU
This 557-nucleotide ribosomal RNA is filed under the name uncultured bacterium. RNAcentral describes it as "partial 16S ribosomal RNA". It matches the Rfam family "Bacterial small subunit ribosomal RNA", at positions 355 to 906 of the family's 1533-position model. The record is from RNAcentral.